UCGGUCACAUCACAUUGAAACACCAGUUCCCGUACGAUCAUAGAUGUUAAGCAACGUCGAAACUGGUCAGUGCCUAGAUGGGUGACCGCUUGGGAAAACCAGCUGGUGU
This is a non-coding RNA of Acanthosepion pharaonis, 109 nucleotides long. Lineage: Eukaryota; Metazoa; Mollusca; Cephalopoda; Sepiida; Sepiidae. The record is from the annotation of a GenBank genome assembly.